Molecule: long non-coding RNA, 1154 nt
Filed under: Canis lupus familiaris (dog)
Lineage: Eukaryota; Metazoa; Chordata; Mammalia; Carnivora; Canidae
Description: lncRNA (ENSCAFG00030011944.1)
Source: RNAcentral
AAGAGAUUUAAAAUUUAAACUAUCAUAAAAUUCAUAUUCUUUCAGUCAGAAAAUCUAUUGUUGUGUUUGUUGUUUUAACUCAACUGAGGUGUAAAAGAAGUUUAUAUUUAUGCUUUCCAGAAGCUCAUGUUAAGAAGGCUAUGUGCAGGCAGGAGAGAAAAGUAUAAGAUGAUUAAUCAGAGGAAUACAGGAUAUCUUGAGAAAAGAAGAACCCUUAGGACCUCUUCUUUUCCUGUCCUGACCCAGACAGGUUUGCUGCUUGUUCAGUCUAGUAAAAUGAUCUCAUGAAAGCAUAACAAGUAAGGUUGUGAUUAAAUAUGUAGCUAGUAAUAGGUAUUCAGCUAUUAGGUAUUUAUAGGUAUUAUCACAGUAACUAUGAGUGUUUUAUGUAUCAUACUUCAGUCAGUUUGUAAACUGAUCAGAUAUGUCCACUUACUUUUUAAGGAUGCUCAAAGGUAUUCAGAACAGAUUUGCCAAAACAAUGUUACUUUAUUGUUAAAAUAACAACUGCAGUGAUGCAUAUGCAAAAUUCUUGCCCAAAGGUCUGGGAGAAUGGACUUUAUUAUGUUGGCAUGUAGCUCCAAAAUUUCCAUUUCUCUCUUCCAAUAGUAAGGGAAAGGUCAUGUAGAGUGCUCAUCAAGGUGGCUGGAUUUAUACUAACCUCUGCGUGCUUAUAACUUUCUGAACAUUAGAACUAUGUUAGGUUGUCUAUUAUAAAAGGUCACACCCACAGCCAUAUUUAAGGGUAAUUACAUACUUAUGGGAUCCUUACUGAAGGUGCAGCCAUAAGCAGCCAUAUUGGUACCAUGAGAUCCAAGCUAGAGCUGAGAUCCUACCCAAGAGAAACAAAUCCAAAGGAACCUAUCAUAUGCUGGGCCAAUUGUUUUCACCCUUUUAGGAUUUUAACUGGAAAGGAAUGAAAUUAUUUGGCAGCUGGGAAGAAGGAAUUAAUGCGGAGAGGAUGAAAGAGUGAUUUCAUGAUGUAGAAUCAAUUUUGUGAGAAAUAAUGGGAAGCUAAAAUUAUGAGAUAACACAAGCUCAGGGUAAUUGUGAACCAGAUAGAGGAGAAAAACUCCAUUGAGAAAAAAAGGAGAACAGGAAUUGGAAAAAGCAGGACACUUGCAUAAAAAAAAUAAAGGAGAAUCAACAAUGUC